This is a non-coding RNA of Populus trichocarpa (black cottonwood), 155 nucleotides long. The record is from Rfam. Lineage: Eukaryota; Viridiplantae; Streptophyta; Magnoliopsida; Malpighiales; Salicaceae.
UCUAGAACUCGAGAUAUGGGCUGAACACUGAACAAUAUCUGGGCUGCAGGACAGAUUCCGACUUCUCCGUUGAUGCUAUGAUUUGGACUCUCAAACGGCAUAAUUGAGUCUUGGACUCUCAUAAAAGUUUUAGGCGUAUGUAUUAGCUUUCCAUC